Molecule: ribosomal RNA, 465 nt
Filed under: Vreelandella stevensii
Lineage: Bacteria; Pseudomonadati; Pseudomonadota; Gammaproteobacteria; Oceanospirillales; Halomonadaceae
Description: partial 16S ribosomal RNA
Rfam family: Bacterial small subunit ribosomal RNA
Source: RNAcentral
CCUACGGGAGGCUGCAGUGGGGAAUAUUGGACAAUGGGCGAAAGCCUGAUCCAGCCAUGCCGCGUGUGUGAAGAAGGCCUUCGGGUUGUAAAGCACUUUCAGUGGGGAAGAAAGCCUUGGGGCUAAUACCCUCGAGGAAGGACAUCACCCACAGAAGAAGCACCGGCUAACUCCGUGCCAGCAGCCGCGGUAAUACGGAGGGUGCGAGCGUUAAUCGGAAUUACUGGGCGUAAAGCGCGCGUAGGCGGUCUGAUAAGCCGGUUGUGAAAGCCCCGGGCUCAACCUGGGAACGGCAUCCGGAACUGUCAGGCUAGAGUGCAGGAGAGGAAGGUAGAAUUCCCGGUGUAGCGGUGAAAUGCGUAGAGAUCGGGAGGAAUACCAGUGGCGAAGGCGGCCUUCUGGACUGACACUGACGCUGAGGUGCGAAAGCGUGGGGAGCAAACAGGAUUAGAUACCCCAGUAGUC